This 1494-nucleotide ribosomal RNA is filed under the name metagenome. RNAcentral's name for it is "bacterial LSU rRNA". It matches the Rfam family "Bacterial large subunit ribosomal RNA", at positions 1390 to 2864 of the family's 2925-position model. The record is from RNAcentral.
CCUAAGGCGAGGCCGAAAGGCGUAGUCGAUGGGAAACAGGUUAAUAUUCCUGUACUUGGUGUUACUGCGAAGGGGGGACGGAGAAGGCUAUGUUGGCCGGGCGACGGUUGUCCCGGUUUAAGCGUGUAGGCUGGUUUUCCAGGCAAAUCCGGAAAAUCAAGGCUGAGGCGUGAUGACGAGGCACUACGGUGCUGAAGCAACAAAUGCCCUGCUUCCAGGAAAAGCCUCUAAGCAUCAGGUAACAUCAAAUCGUACCCCAAACCGACACAGGUGGUCAGGUAGAGAAUACCAAGGCGCUUGAGAGAACUCGGGUGAAGGAACUAGGCAAAAUGGUGCCGUAACUUCGGGAGAGGGCACGCUGAUAUGUAGGUGAGGUCCCUCGCGGAUGGAGCUGAAAUCAGUCGAAGAUACCAGCUGGCUGCAACUGUUUAUUAAAAACACAGCACUGUGCAAACACGAAAGUGGACGUAUACGGUGUGACGCCUCCCCGGUGCCGGAAGGUUAAUUGAUGGGGUUAGCGCAAGCGAAGCUCUUGAUCGAAGCCCCGGUAAACGGCGGCCGUAACAAUAACGGUCCUAAGGUAGCGAAAUUCCUUGUCGGGUAAGUUCCGACCUGCACGAAUGGCGUAAUGAUGGCCAGGCUGUCUCCACCCGAGACUCAGUGAAAUUGAACUCGCUGUGAAGAUGCAGUGUACCCGCGGCAAGACGGAAAGACCCCGUGAACCUUUACUAUAGCUUGACACUGAAUAUUGAGCCUUGAUGUGUAGGAUAGGUGGGAGGCUUUGAAGUGUGGACGCCAGUCUGCAUGGAGCCGACCUUGAAAUACCACCCUUUAAUGUUUGAUGUUCUAACGUUGACCCGUAAUCCGGGUUGCGGACAGUGUCUGGUGGGUAGUUUGACUGGGGCGGUCUCCUCCUAAAGAGUAACGGAGGAGCACGAAGGUUGGCUAAUCCUGGUCGGACAUCAGGAGGUUAGUGCAAUGGCAUAAGCCAGCUUGACUGCGAGCGUGACGGCGCGAGCAGGUGCGAAAGCAGGUCAUAGUGAUCCGGUGGUUCUGAAUGGAAGGGCCAUCGCUCAACGGAUAAAAGGUACUCCGGGGAUAACAGGCUGAUACCGCCCAAGAGUUCAUAUCGACGGCGGUGUUUGGCACCUCGAUGUCGGCUCAUCACAUCCUGGGGCUGAAGUAGGUCCCAAGGGUAUGGCUGUUCGCCAUUUAAAGUGGUACGCGAGCUGGGUUUAGAACGUCGUGAGACAGUUCGGUCCCUAUCUGCCGUGGGCGCUGGAGAACUGAGGGGGGCUGCUCCUAGUACGAGAGGACCGGAGUGGACGCAUCACUGGUGUUCGGGUUGUCAUGCCAAUGGCACUGCCCGGUAGCUAAAUGCGGAAGAGAUAAGUGCUGAAAGCAUCUAAGCACGAAACUUGCCCCGAGAUGAGUUCUCCCUGACCCUUUAAGGGUCCUGAAGGAACGUUGAAGACGACGACGUUGAUAGGCCGG